RNAcentral lists this ribosomal RNA (253 nucleotides) under uncultured bacterium. RNAcentral's name for it is "partial 16S ribosomal RNA". It matches the Rfam family "Bacterial small subunit ribosomal RNA", at positions 524 to 776 of the family's 1533-position model. The record is from RNAcentral.
UACGAAGGGGACUAGCGUUGUUCGGACUCACUGGGCGUAAAGCGCACGUAGGCGGAUUUGUUAGUCAGGGGUGAAGUCCCGGGGCUCAACCUCGGAACUGCCUUUGAUACUGCAAGUCUCGAGUCCGAUAGAGGUGGGUGGAAUUCCUAGUGUAGAGGUGAAAUUCGUAGAUAUUAGGAAGAACACCGGUGGCGAAGGCGGCCCACUGGAUCGGUACUGACGCUGAGGUGCGAAAGCGUGGGGAGCAAACAGG